RNAcentral lists this transfer RNA (72 nucleotides) under Camelus bactrianus (Bactrian camel). It matches the Rfam family "tRNA". Rfam says of the family: Transfer RNA (tRNA) molecules are approximately 80 nucleotides in length. Their secondary structure includes four short double-helical elements and three loops (D, anti-codon, and T loops). Further hydrogen bonds mediate the characteristic L-shaped molecular structure. tRNAs have two regions of fundamental functional importance: the anti-codon, which is responsible for specific mRNA codon recognition, and the 3' end, to which the tRNAs corresponding amino acid is attached (by aminoacyl-tRNA synthetases). tRNAs cope with the degeneracy of the genetic code in two manners: having more than one tRNA (with a specific anti-codon) for a particular amino acid; and 'wobble' base-pairing, i.e. permitting non-standard base-pairing at the 3rd anti-codon position. The record is from Rfam by way of RNAcentral. Lineage: Eukaryota; Metazoa; Chordata; Mammalia; Artiodactyla; Camelidae. RNAcentral also lists the same sequence under 2 other names.
GAGGGUAUAGCUUAGUGGUAGAGUGCGUGCUUAGCAUGCAUGAGGUACUGUGUUCAAUCCCCAGUACCUCCA